RNAcentral lists this long non-coding RNA (325 nucleotides) under Actinidia chinensis (golden kiwifruit). RNAcentral describes it as "long non-coding RNA (ACHI_LNC002843)". Lineage: Eukaryota; Viridiplantae; Streptophyta; Magnoliopsida; Ericales; Actinidiaceae. The record is from RNAcentral.
UACUGAUGUAUCGAGGUUCGGUUCCAGUUGUUCAGCAACCGAAUUAGCGGAGAGCUAGGGUUUGGUGAGAGUCAGACGAUGAGGGUAGUGAGAUCGUUCUGUGUUGGAUCGGAGAUCGGCGACUUACGGCGCCGUUGGAGUUGGAGGUCGGCGUGUGACGGUGCCGUUGAAGUUGGAGAUCGGCGAUGGAAUUUAUAACUUGGUCGGAGGUGAAUGCGAAGGCGUGGCCGUGUAGCGGGUACGAAUUAAAUUUCACAGUUGGGGUUAGACUAUAAUUUUACGUUUGGUAGUUGCCAACAUAGAAGGUAAUAUAAGAAUAAGCGAA